GAUGAACGCUAGCUACAGGCUUAACACAUGCAAGUCGAGGGGCAGCGGUAUCGAAAGCUUGCUUUCGGUAGCCGGCGACCGGCGCACGGGUGAGUAACGCGUAUCGAACCUGCCUCAUACUCGGGAAUAGCCUUGCGAAAGUAAGAUUAAUGCCCGGUGUUUUCAGAGUCCCGCAUGAGGCUUUGAACAAAGAUUUAUCGGUAUGAGAUGGCGAUGCGUCCCAUUAGCUUGUUGGCGGGGUAACGGCCCACCAAGGCAUCGAUGGGUAGGGGUUCUGAGAGGAAGGUCCCCCACAUUGGAACUGAGACACGGUCCAAACUCCUACGGGAGGCAGCAGUGAGGAAUAUUGGUCAAUGGGCGGAAGCCUGAACCAGCCAAGUAGCGUGCAGGAAGGCGGCCCUCCGGGUUGUAAACUGCUUUUAGUUGGGAAUAAAACGGGGCUCGUGAGCCCCCUUGCAUGUACCAUCAGAAAAAGGACCGGCUAAUUCCGUG
This 492-nucleotide ribosomal RNA is filed under the name uncultured bacterium. RNAcentral's name for it is "partial 16S ribosomal RNA". It matches the Rfam family "Bacterial small subunit ribosomal RNA", at positions 28 to 507 of the family's 1533-position model. The record is from RNAcentral.